RNAcentral lists this ribosomal RNA (489 nucleotides) under uncultured bacterium. RNAcentral's name for it is "partial 16S ribosomal RNA". It matches the Rfam family "Bacterial small subunit ribosomal RNA", at positions 30 to 507 of the family's 1533-position model. The record is from RNAcentral.
UUGAACGCUGGCGGCAGGCCUAACCCAUGCAAGUCGCACGGUAACAGGAAGAAGCUUGCUUCUUUGCUGACGAGUGGCGGACGGGUGAGUAAUGUCUGGGAAACUGCCUGAUGGAGGGGGAUAACUACUGGAAACGGUAGCUAAUACCGCAUAACGUCGCAAAACCAAAGAGGGGGACCUUCGGGCCUCUUGCCAUCGGAUGUGCCCAGAUGGGAUUAGCUAGUAGGUGGGGUAACGGCUCACCUAGGCGACGAUCCCUAGCUGGUCUGAGAGGAUGACCAGCCACACUGGAACUGAGACACGGUCCAGACUCCUACGGGAGGCAGCAGUGGGGAAUAUUGCACAAUGGGCGCAAGCCUGAUGCAGCCAUGCCGCGUGUAUGAAGAAGGCCUUCGGGUUGUAAAGUACUUUCAGCGGGGAGGAAGGGAGUAAAGUUAAUACCUUUGCUCAUUGACGUUACCCGCAGAAGAAGCACCGGCUAACUCCGUG